Molecule: transfer RNA, 77 nt
Filed under: Hyphomicrobiales bacterium
Lineage: Bacteria; Pseudomonadati; Pseudomonadota; Alphaproteobacteria; Hyphomicrobiales
Also listed under: 1 other name
Description: Rhizobiales bacterium tRNA-Arg
Rfam family: tRNA
About the family: Transfer RNA (tRNA) molecules are approximately 80 nucleotides in length.
Source: RNAcentral
GGUCCCGUAGCUCAGCCGGAUAGAGCACCAGAUUCCUAAUCUGGGGGUCGCGCGUUCGAAUCGCGCCGGGAUCACCA